Molecule: small RNA, 425 nt
Filed under: Histoplasma ohiense
Lineage: Eukaryota; Fungi; Ascomycota; Eurotiomycetes; Onygenales; Ajellomycetaceae
Description: hypothetical lncRNA
Source: RNAcentral
ACCGCUUUAGAAAAAAAAAAUAAUAAUUAAAUAAUUAAAUAAUAAAAAGCCUUCUCUGACAAAGUUACAUGUCAGAACUUCAACUGACCCACUUCGAGAUAGGACACAUGAUGUCCUCGCCCCCCGAUCAAUUUGUAUUUGUUCAGAACAAUCUCAGUUCUAGCUCCUUCUGAGGACCCGCCCCUUCAUCCGACGGGGCUCCAUUCCUUCUCGAAGGAUCGCAAGACACGCUAACAAUUCAAGAAAAGCGAGGUGGCGAGAAAAUAAAUUGAUGAUGCCAUGAUGCCACGAUGCCACGAUGCCACGAUGCCACGGGGCCAAGUCCCAGUCAACAACCUCAAAUUUGAGCCCCGACAACCCCCACACACUCACAACAUUCUUUCGUUAAACUGUCUUGGAAGAUAUUGCCUUUUUAUCCGGUAAUC